Molecule: ribosomal RNA, 459 nt
Filed under: uncultured bacterium
Lineage: Bacteria
Description: bacterial SSU rRNA
Rfam family: Bacterial small subunit ribosomal RNA
Source: RNAcentral
ACGAACGUUGGCGGCGUGUAUAAGGCAUGCAAGUCGAGGGACGUGUUCCCGCAAGGGAAUUACGACCGGCAGACGGGAGAGUAACACAUUGGUAACCUACCUCUAAGACGGGGAUAGCCCACCGAAAGGUGGAUUAAUACUCGAUAGUAAUCCCGAUUUUAAUAAUCGGGAUUUAAAUGAUUUUUCGCUUAGAGCAGGGCCUAUGAUCUAUCAGCUAGUUGGUGAGGUAAUGGCUCACCAAGGCUACGACGGAUAGGGGACGUGAGAGCGUGAUCCCCCUCACUGGGACUGAGAACUGCCCAGACACCUACGGGUGGCUGCAGUCAAGAAUCUUCCGCAAUGGACGAAAGUCUGACGGAGCGACGCCGCGUGCAGGAUGAAGCCCUUUGGGGUGUAAACUGCUUUUAUAGGGGACGAAUUUGUGACGGUACCCUAUGAAUAAGAGGUUGCUAACUCUGU